UUAAGAAGGUGAUAGAGUGGUUAUAUAGCUGGCUUGAAACCAGUAAAUGUGGGUUCGAGUCCUACCCUUUUUG
RNAcentral lists this transfer RNA (73 nucleotides) under Praslinia cooperi. RNAcentral describes it as "tRNA-Ser". It matches the Rfam family "tRNA". From Rfam's summary of the family: Transfer RNA (tRNA) molecules are approximately 80 nucleotides in length. Their secondary structure includes four short double-helical elements and three loops (D, anti-codon, and T loops). Lineage: Eukaryota; Metazoa; Chordata; Amphibia; Gymnophiona; Indotyphlidae. The record is from RNAcentral.